CAGUCGCCGCGGUAAUACAGAGGGUGCGAGCGUUAAUCGGAUUUACUGGGCGUAAAGCGUGCGUAGGCGGCUUCUUAAGUCGGAUGUGAAAUCCCUGAGCUUAACUUAGGAAUUGCAUUCGAUACUGGGAAGCUAGAGUAUGGGAGAGGAUGGUAGAAUUCCAGGUGUAGCGGUGAAAUGCGUAGAGAUCUGGAGGAAUACCGAUGGCGAAGGCAGCCAUCUGGCCUAAUACUGACGCUGAGGUACGAAAGCAUGGGGAGCAAACAGGAUUAAAUACCCCCGUAGUCCCUGUCUCUUAUAC
RNAcentral lists this ribosomal RNA (301 nucleotides) under uncultured bacterium. RNAcentral's name for it is "partial 16S ribosomal RNA". It matches the Rfam family "Bacterial small subunit ribosomal RNA", at positions 509 to 807 of the family's 1533-position model. The record is from RNAcentral.